Non-coding RNA from Solanum lycopersicum (tomato), 408 nucleotides. NCBI's taxonomy places the organism in Eukaryota, Viridiplantae, Streptophyta, Magnoliopsida, Solanales, Solanaceae. The record is from Rfam.
GACAUAUAUAGGGACAAAAGUCGGCUCUACAAAUAAAAGUUACUCUAACAUGCUGAUCUUCCCCAAGAGUUUAUACGGGAAGGUUUGGCACCUUGAUGUCGGCUUUUUCGCCAUCGGGCUGUAGUAUGUUAUAAGGAUUGGAUUGUACGCUCAUUAGUUAAGCGAUAUGUGAGCUGGGUUCAGAAUAUUGUGAGACAGUUCGGUCCAUAUUCGAUAUGAGCGUUAGAGUAUUGAUAUUAAAGAAUCUUUUUCUAGUACGAGAGGAUCGGAAAGAACGCACCUCUGGUGUAUCAGUUAUCGUACCCACGAUAAAUACUGAAUAGCUAAGUGUGAAACGAAUAAUUAUUGGAAUCAUCUAAGUAGUAAGUCCACCCCUUACAUUUAAUAUUAACGGGCAAGUCGAACUUG